UACGUAGGGUGCAAGCGUUGUCCGGAAUUAUUGGGCGUAAAGAGCUCGUAGGCGGUCUGUCACGUCGGCUGUGAAAACCCGGGGCUCAACCCCGGGCCUGCAGUCGAUACGGGCAGACUAGAGUGCGGUAGGGGAGACUGGAAUUCCUGGUGUAGCGGUGGAAUGCGCAGAUAUCAGGAGGAACACCGGUGGCGAAGGCGGGUCUCUGGGCCGUAACUGACGCUGAGGAGCGAAAGCGUGGGGAGCGAACAGG
This 253-nucleotide ribosomal RNA is filed under the name uncultured bacterium. RNAcentral's name for it is "partial 16S ribosomal RNA". It matches the Rfam family "Bacterial small subunit ribosomal RNA", at positions 524 to 776 of the family's 1533-position model. The record is from RNAcentral.